This 72-nucleotide transfer RNA is filed under the name Sedimentisphaerales bacterium. Its description in RNAcentral is "tRNA-Ser". It matches the Rfam family "tRNA". Rfam says of the family: Transfer RNA (tRNA) molecules are approximately 80 nucleotides in length. Their secondary structure includes four short double-helical elements and three loops (D, anti-codon, and T loops). Further hydrogen bonds mediate the characteristic L-shaped molecular structure. tRNAs have two regions of fundamental functional importance: the anti-codon, which is responsible for specific mRNA codon recognition, and the 3' end, to which the tRNAs corresponding amino acid is attached (by aminoacyl-tRNA synthetases). tRNAs cope with the degeneracy of the genetic code in two manners: having more than one tRNA (with a specific anti-codon) for a particular amino acid; and 'wobble' base-pairing, i.e. permitting non-standard base-pairing at the 3rd anti-codon position. The record is from RNAcentral. Lineage: Bacteria; Pseudomonadati; Planctomycetota; Phycisphaerae; Sedimentisphaerales.
CGCCCCGUAGUUUAAGGGAUAGAACGUUUGACUACUAAUCUUAAGGUUUGGGUUCGAGUCCCAACGGGGCGG